Molecule: ribosomal RNA, 489 nt
Filed under: uncultured bacterium
Lineage: Bacteria
Description: partial 16S ribosomal RNA
Rfam family: Bacterial small subunit ribosomal RNA
Source: RNAcentral
GAUGAACGCUAGCGGGAGGCCUAACACAUGCAAGCCGAGCGGGAUUUGUUGGUUAGCUUGCUAACUAACAAUGAGAGCGGCGUACGGGUGCGUAGCACGUGUGCAACCUGCCUUUAUCUGGGGGAUAGCCUUUCGAAAGGAAGAUUAAUACCCCAUAACAUAUUGAUUGGCAUCAGUUAAUAUUGAAAGCUCCGGCGGAUAGAGAUGGGCACGCGUAAGAUUAGCUAGUUGGUGAGGUAACGGCUCACCAAGGCUGCGAUCUUUAGGGGGCCAGAGAGGGUGAUCCCCCACACUGGUACUGAGACACGGACCAGACUCCUACGGGAGGCAGCAGUGAGGAAUAUUGGACAAUGGGUGAGAGCCUGAUCCAGCCAUCCCGCGUGAAGGACUAAGGACCUAUGGUUUGUAAACUUCUUUUAUACAGGGAUAAACCUACUCUCGUGAGGGUAGCUGAAGGUACUGUAUGAAUAAGCACCGGCUAACUCCGUG